CAUGCAGUUCGAGCGAGGCCUGGGGGGCAACUCCCAGAGGUCGAGCGGCGGACGGNCUGAGUAACACGUGGGUAACCUGCCCGGAAGUGGGGAAUACCUCGGGGAAACUCGAGCUAAUACCGCAUGACAUCUUCGGGACGAAAGUCCUGACGAUCAAAGCGGGGUCGCAAGAUCUCGCGCUACCGGAUGGGCCCGCGCCCGAUUAGCUAGUUGGUGAGGUAACGGCUCACCAAGGCUUCGAUCGGUAACCGGCCUGAGAGGGCGAUCGGUCACACCGGAACUGAGACACGGUCCGGACUCCUACGGGAGGCAGCAGUGGGGAAUCUUGCGCAAUGGGCGAAAGCCUGACGCAGCAACNCCGCGUGGAGGAUGAAGGCCCUUGGGUUGUAAACUCCUGUCGGCUGGGAAGAAAUCGUUCGGGGUUAAUACCCUCGAACGUUGACUGUACCAGCAAAGGAAGCCCCGGCUAACUCUGUGCCAGCAGCCNCGGUAAUACAGAGGGGGCUAGCGUUAUUCGGAAUUAUUGGGCGUAAAGGGCGCGUANGCGGNCAUGCGUGUCUUCCGUGAAAUCCCUCGGCUUAACUGAGGACGUGCGGAAAAAACUGCAAGGCUCGAGUCCGGGAGAGGGGGGUGGAAUUCCCAGUGUAGCGGUGAAAUGCGUANAUAUUGGGAGGAACACCGGUGGCGAANGCGUUCCCCUGGACCGGUACUGACNCUGAGGCCCGAAAGCGUGGGUAGCA
RNAcentral lists this ribosomal RNA (740 nucleotides) under uncultured bacterium. Its description in RNAcentral is "bacterial SSU rRNA". It matches the Rfam family "Bacterial small subunit ribosomal RNA", at positions 54 to 770 of the family's 1533-position model. The record is from RNAcentral.